RNAcentral lists this ribosomal RNA (347 nucleotides) under uncultured bacterium. RNAcentral describes it as "partial 16S ribosomal RNA". It matches the Rfam family "Bacterial small subunit ribosomal RNA", at positions 338 to 696 of the family's 1533-position model. The record is from RNAcentral.
CCUACGGGAGGCAGCAGUCGAGAAUCAUUCACAAUGGGGGAAACCCUGAUGGUGCGACGCCGCGUGGGGGAAUGAAGGUCUUAGGAUUGUAAACCCCUGUCAUGUGGGAGCAAAUUAAAAAGAUAGUACCACAAGAGGCAGCGACUGCUAACGCGGUGCCAGCAGCCGCGGUAAUACAGAGGUAUCAAUCGUGGUUCGGAAUCACUGGGCGGAAGGCGUGCGUAGGCGGUUUCGGAAGUCGUGUGUGAAAGGCGCGGGCUCAACCCGCGGCCUGCACAUGAUACUGCGAGACUAGAGUAAUGGAGGGGGAACCGGAAUUCUCGGUGUAGCAGUGAAAUGCGUAGAUA